Molecule: ribosomal RNA, 305 nt
Filed under: uncultured bacterium
Lineage: Bacteria
Description: bacterial SSU rRNA
Rfam family: Bacterial small subunit ribosomal RNA
Source: RNAcentral
UUGUUCCUACGGGGCGCAGCAGUGAGGAAUAUUGGUCAAUGGCCGAGAGGCUGAACCAGCCAAGUCGCGUGAGGGAAGACGGCCCUACGGGUUGUAAACCUCUUUUGUCGGGGAGCAAAGCGAACCACGUGUGGUUCAUUGAGAGUACCCGAAGAAAAAGCAUCGGCUAACUCCGUGCCAGCAGCCGCGGUAAUACGGAGGAUGCGAGCGUUAUCCGGAUUUAUUGGGUUUAAAGGGUGCGCAGGCGGAGGUGCAAGUCAGCGGUCAAAUUGCGGGGCUCAACCCCGUACUGCCGUUGAAACUGC